AUGGGGACUCACCGUCUUACUGAUCCUAACCAAACUCCGAAUACCGAAGAGUACUAUCUGGCAGACAGACGUCGGGUGCUAACGUCCGGCGUCGAGAGGGAAACAACCCUGACCUGCAGCUAAGGCCCCCAAUUCGUGGCUAAGUGGGAAAGCAUGUGAGACGACCAAAACAACCAGGAUGUUGGCUUAGAAGCAGCCAUCAUUUAAAGAGUGCGUAAUAGCUCACUAGUCGAGUGACCCUGCGCCGAAAAUGUACCGGGGCUAAAACAAUUUACCGAAGCUGU
This 284-nucleotide ribosomal RNA is filed under the name Ditylum brightwellii. Its description in RNAcentral is "partial Bacterial large subunit ribosomal RNA". It matches the Rfam family "Bacterial large subunit ribosomal RNA", at positions 921 to 1203 of the family's 2925-position model. Lineage: Eukaryota; Bacillariophyta; Thalassiosirophyceae; Lithodesmiales; Lithodesmiaceae. The record is from RNAcentral.